CAUCCUGUUAUUAAGCUUUUUGUAAUUUAAAUUAUUAUUCAUUAAUUAAUAAAUAACAGCUAUUAUUUGUAAAUCAAAAAUUAAUUUUAUUUUAGCAUAUAUCAUAAUCUGACAUAUCAAAAGGAUUUAAAAAAUGUAAUGCAAUUCUAUCUAGAAAAAUAGUUUGGCAGAUUUUUUAAUAAAUAUGUUUUUUACAUAGUUAAAUUAUAGAAGAAAGAUUUGGAUUUAAAAUAAAUGUUUUUGUUAUGUGAGUAGAUAAAAAUUAUUUUUUUUUAAAUAAUUUGGUUCUUUUUUAAUGUACAAUAUUCUAAUUUCAAGUAUUGAAAUUAUAAUCAUUAAUUCUUGCAUUGGAUAAUAUUUUUCUAGAAACAUGAAUAACAUGUGUGACUAUUUGGCUCAUGUUUCAGAAAAAUAUAAUAUAUAAAUUUGAUCAGUUUUCAAAUGCGAACAAAGAUGUUUGUGAAAAAGGGAGACUGUAAAUCUAUCCUUAGUUUAUAAUUUAAGUAACACAUUAAAGACAUUUUUUAAUCUAUUAAAAUUGAAUAACAUAUGAAUUCAGAAUUUAUAAUUUUUAUAUAAUGAUUGUCUACUAGUUUCAUUUUAAUAGUAGAUAGUUAUGUAUUUAUCUAAUAACAAUUAACAAUAACACUAUAACAGUAUAUUAUAAUCAAUAAGUUUAAAUUAAAAUCUUUAAUUAAUAUGUUGAGCCCACUACAAAAUAAUGGUUCUAGGUCAUCGUUCAUUUAUAUAGGUUGGUUUUUAUACCUUAAUAUUUCUAGUAAUACUUUGUAACUUGUCCAACAAUAUUUAUUUUUAAAUAGUUUUAGUUAGACAAAAAUGUACUAAUUUGUAGUUUUGAAACUUCUACUUGUAAUUAAAUUAUGGAAUACAAUUUUUAUUAUCUACAUUGAUCAGAUAUUGGAUAACAGUUUAUUAAUUGUAACUACUGUUUAAUGGGGUACCUAUAGGACAAACAUUUAUCGUUCAUUUUUAGAUAAUCUAAUAAUCUUUAAAUAAUUUAAAUACAAAUAAACCAUAAGUGCCCCUCCUUGUCUCCUCAAUCAUAUUGUCUAUUUGUGUAAGCAAUCUUGCGUGUACAUAGUAAAUUACAAUAUGAAUAUUACAACUUUAAAAGUUGCUAUUAGAAUAUCAUGAAUCGAAUUUUUUUUUUUACUGAUUAGGAGAGGGGGAUCAAAAUAUUACAAGUUAGUAUUCAGUUGAAAAAAAGAUGGCUGUUCGACGUUUAGAAAAUUGUUGCGUCGACAUUUUUGGCAUUUUCGCGCUUCUAUUCAUUGCCUCAUUGGUCAUCCAGUUCAUAAUGAUUAUAAUUUAUAAUAUACACACGAGCGCACAGGCGGCUGAGAGAUCGUCUUACCGGGCAGUACUCUGCAGUCUGCAGGUAAUAAACAAAUGUACAUCUAUUUAAUUAACAUCGCCGCUAAUGUCCUAAAAGUUCUAUCUAAAUAUAGGGUUGCCAUUUAAAUAAACUUAAAAACCGAGUCAUUACAAUAUCAGACAGUGUAGACAUAAAUUUACAAUUUAUGUUUAUAAUAAUAACAAAACUGUUUGAAAUCGACUGCCAUUUCUUUUUAGAUUCUUUGCCAUUACUAUUCUUCAUUUAAAGCCAUUUUAAAAUUUAAUUUUAUAAAACAAAUGUAGUGUUUUAUAUUUUAUCAAUUUAUUUUAUAUUUGUUUAAUAAAGAAACCCAUAAUAAUAAAUGUAGUUUUGGUAUAAUAUGUUGAUUUGAAGCAGUCCCAUCUGUUUAUAAUUUAUACAAAAGUUAUAAAAUAUGGUACGUACAAAUUUCUUUAGUUUUUUCACCUUGUUCUUCUUGCAUUAUCAUUUGGAAAAAAAAUAUCUUGUUCCAUAACCAAUAUUAUGACUGCGCCCAAUACAAUUUAUAAUAAUAAUUACUAACUUUAACAAGGUAUAUUAAAACAAUCUUAGUAUGAAUUUUUCUGAAAAAUUAAAAUUAUCGUAAAAAAUAAACGAGAGAAUAAAAAGUUCUUACUUCUUAUUAGGUACCUUUAAAUUUGAUUUUAGAUUACUUCAUUCUAAUAUUAGCUACUAAUACAAAAUUGGUUCUUUUGAACGUAAAUUUGCUAUGUUGUAUAUUUGUAAGUCAAAGACAACACACGUGUCACAUGUGGACCGGUGUCUUCUUAAGAUUGCUUUAAUAUUGGUAUAUAUUGGACAUUGGUAAUUAGCACUAGGUAUAGAUUUUCGAGGUACCUAUACAAUUUUAAUUUCAUGUGGGUGUACGUUAAUAAAAUAAAAUUAAAAUAUUCGUUAAAAUAGUAUAUAAAAAAUAACAUGUAUAAAUUAUGUACAUAUGUGUAUAAUUAUUAAUUGGCAUAUUAAAAAUUCAUUAAUUUCGUUACUUUUCGUUAUUGAUGAGUUUGGGAGUGAAUAUUAUAGUAGUAACGUACCUAGUACGACAAUGAUGUUGAGUGAUACUAUAAGGAUUUUUAAAACGGAUUGAAUCUAUCGCAAAGGUUGCUUGACAAAAAGUAUUCUCUGCGAUAUCGAUUUUUGAUUCUUUUCUUUUAAACACCUAUUCAAUUUUUUUGAGAAACAUUCAAACAUGAAGUAAAAAAACCUGGGAAAUGGAAAUUUUUGUUCACAUUACGCGGUGAAUUAAAAUUUUUUUUUAUAGUACUCAUUGUUGUAUCGUCAGACCCUUAACUGUAACAUUGGUAAGAGAACGCCAAUAUCGCAUAUUAUGUCGUCUUCGUCUUACAAAUGUACAAUUUAUUUUCAUCAGUUUCAAUUUUGUGCAAUUAUCUUAAAUAAUAAUGGAGUGAAUUAACUUAUCAAACCUAUUAUUAAAUUAUUCAAAUUUAAAGGUAAUAAUAUUAUUAUAAAUUUAAAGGUUUUUCACGAUCUUAUAAUUUUUAAAUUGUCAUAUUUUACAUAGGUACUUAUAACUUACUUAAAAAUUAAAAUAUCCUAAAAAACAUAAUUCUUACCUUCAAGUUCGAUAAUAAGCCAAUGUAUUCUAUUACUACACAAAAUUAAAACUGCUAAAUACAAAUUUGGUAUGUUGUAUUUUUGUAAGACGGGACAACACAUGUUAUAGUGCGGCGCGUUCUUAAGAAAUCCCCGAUUUUGAUUAAUGUUGGCUUAAUGCCGAAACCUGGGUAUACCUUCCUUACAGACGUUGUGGCGUGAAAGCAAGCAUCGGAUCAAAUGUUCGGCCAGUGGAAGUCACUGCAGUUUUGUGUUCAAAUAACCUCGAUAAUCACAACUAAUGGAUGGACAAGCAUGGCUCUUAGCCAAAAAAAUCAAGGGAAAUAAAAAGAAAAAAAUGUAUAUUUUACCCACAAUGAACCCAAAUUUCAAAAAAAUAAAAAAAUAAUUUAUGUUCCCAAGAAUAGUUAUGGUAGGUAGGUUUAGUACUUAAUAAAUAUAAUAUCUAGAUUCAUAUUAAUAUAAGCCAUACAUUAACACACUAGAUAAUUUAACUGCUAAAAUAUCGAAUUUUACAGAGGUAUUGUAAUAUUCUAAAUCAUAUUUGACGUAUAGGCAUUUUAAAAUUACAAAUUACUGCUGCGUAGUGCUGCGUACACAUAAUCAAAAAUUACAAACCAUAAUAUAGAAAAUAGGUAUAUGUACCUAACUAACAUAUCCGCAUACUUAUAAAUACGUGUUGUUUUAUUCUACUCUGGGAAAUUUGAAUUAAAUAGAUAAUUCCCGUGUAAUGUAAUUGUUUUCAGGAAUAGUUUUUUGGUAUGUUUUAUAUGAGAUUUGAAAAAAAAUUUUUAUAAUUUAACCAAUAAAAAAGACAUAUACGCCACUGCCCACUGUACAAUGAUUUAUUAAGUCCAUUUAAAAGUAGCACGUAUGGUUUACUUAUCUGCGACUGUGAAAAUGGAUCUUAAAGGCGCAUAAUAUAUUACAUUUUUAUAUAAUAUAAUAAAUAUGACAAUUUUUAAAUUGAAAUUAAAUUGUUUUUGAGAUAUGUAUUUUUAUUUUAUUGAUUAUAAUUAAUUCUAUAUUUUGCUCAAAGACAUUUUUAACGCU
This is an RNA transcript of Rhopalosiphum padi (bird cherry-oat aphid), 4024 nucleotides long. RefSeq lists it as uncharacterized. The transcript has 2 exons. The record is from RefSeq and is a predicted model, not a curated record. NCBI's taxonomy places the organism in Eukaryota, Metazoa, Arthropoda, Insecta, Hemiptera, Aphididae.